GAUGCGACGGGGUAUUGGCGCGGUUCAAUUCGAGAGGUUGCGCCCCGGAAGGCCACCAGGGGCUCUGCUCUCUGAUUGAGCCGUGCCAAUAUCACGUCGCCUUCA
RNAcentral lists this microRNA precursor (105 nucleotides) under Dichanthelium oligosanthes. Lineage: Eukaryota; Viridiplantae; Streptophyta; Magnoliopsida; Poales; Poaceae. The record is from RNAcentral.